RNAcentral lists this ribosomal RNA (253 nucleotides) under uncultured bacterium. RNAcentral's name for it is "partial 16S ribosomal RNA". It matches the Rfam family "Bacterial small subunit ribosomal RNA", at positions 524 to 776 of the family's 1533-position model. The record is from RNAcentral.
UACAGAGGGGGCAAGCGUUAUUCGGAAUUAUUGGGCGUAAAGGGCGCGUAGGCGGCUUGGCAAGUGGAAGGUGAAAUCCCUCGGCUCAACUGAGGAACUGCCUUCCAGACUGCUUUGCUUGAGUCCGGGAGAGGUGAGUGGAAUUCCCAGUGUAGCGGUGAAAUGCGUAGAUAUUGGGAGGAACACCAGUGGCGAAGGCGGCUCACUGGACCGGAACUGACGCUGAGGCGCGAAAGCCAGGGGAGCAAACGGG